GUGGGGAAUAUUGGACAAUGGGCGCAAGCCUGAUCCAGCAAUGCCGCGUGCAGGAAGAAGGCCUUCGGGUUGUAAACUGCUUUUGUACGGAACGAAAAGGCUCUGGUUAAUACCUGGGGCUCAUGACGGUACCGUAAGAAUAAGCACCGGCUAACUACGUGCCAGCAGCCGCGGUAAUACGUAGGGUGCAAGCGUUAAUCGGAAUUACUGGGCGUAAAGCGUGCGCAGGCGGUUUUGUAAGACAGACGUGAAAUCCCCGGGCUCAACCUGGGAAUGGCGUUUGUGACUGCAAAGCUGGAGUGCGGCAGAGGGGGAUGGAAUUCCGCGUGUAGCAGUGAAAUGCGUAGAUAUGCGGAGGAACACCGAUGGCGAAGGCAAUCCCCUGGGCCUGCACUGACGCUCAUGCACGAAAGCGUGGGGAGCAAACAGGAUUAGAAACCCGAGUAGUCC
RNAcentral lists this ribosomal RNA (450 nucleotides) under uncultured bacterium. Its description in RNAcentral is "partial 16S ribosomal RNA". It matches the Rfam family "Bacterial small subunit ribosomal RNA", at positions 354 to 796 of the family's 1533-position model. The record is from RNAcentral.